Molecule: long non-coding RNA, 3386 nt
Organism: Brienomyrus brachyistius
Lineage: Eukaryota; Metazoa; Chordata; Actinopteri; Osteoglossiformes; Mormyridae
Exons: 3
Source: RefSeq, a predicted model, not a curated record
ACACAUCAGAGAACCAACUGGCUUAGCUAACAGGAUCUGAAUUUUAUUAAACCUGCCCGUUCUGUACUUAAACAGGCGGUUUAAAGUAAUUACAGUGUGUGUUCAUGUAAUUGAGUUUACUUUUAAUGUGGGAAGGCCAUUUAUUACCAUAGGACCGAAAAAUUAUUAAUGGAUGACUGGUCAGGUUCUGGUACAUUGGGUUCCCCUGAAGAUGGUUUCUGUGUCCAAGAAGACAGCAGGGUUCCUGAUUGUCUGUGUGGAUCUGUUCACACGGCGAUAUAAAUCCCACAGCUAAUUCUUCAGACGUGCACGGAAAUCCCCAGGAAAAUAUAAACAGCCGGAGCAGCAGAUUUCAGAGCUGAUUUCCGUGUCAUGCUUUAAUGCUCCUGAGUACUUCUGUAAAAACUAUUAAUUAGACUUUUAAAAGCCAGGAGCCUCUCUGACAUGGGCAGGCAGACAGGCAGCUCCCGACGUUGGUGAUCUGGAAACUCAGACCUCAAGCUGACCAGGUCCUACACUGCUCUACACUGCCGACCAGGUCCUACACUGCGCUACACUGCCGACCAGGUCCUACACUGCCCUACACUGCCGACCAGGUCCUACACUGCCCUACACUGCCGACCAGGUCCUGCACUGCCCUACACUGCCGACCAGGUCCUGCACUGCCCUACACUGCCGACCAGGUCCUACACUGCUCUACACUGCCGACCAGGUCCUAUACUGCUCUACACUGCCGACCAGGUCCUACACUGCUCUUGGCUAGAGAGGUUAUUUCAGCUGCACCCACCCCUGUCCUGGGGUCUGUUAAUAUGUUAAUAUAUGUAACCGAAGGAUGUCCCUGGCCUCCAUUGGUUUCAAUUUCAAACAAACCAAUGAAUGCAGACUGUGCUCCGCCUCUCUGGCAUGGCUGUGCUUGUUGGAUUUUGCACCUUCGGGAGAUAAUUCUGAGCUGCAGGUGAGGAGAAGCUCCCUCGUCUGUCAUGAGCAGCAAUACGAUCCCUCGGGGGUGACAAGUAAGGGAUCAUGUGAUCACACGAGUGCCAGCUCUGAGUCACUGUUCUCUCUCUCCCCUAUUGGCCUUCUGCUUGCAAGUGAUUUGUUUGCUUGUCCUCCCGGUGAAUUGGGCCUAGUUUGCAUGUCGAUGACACUUCCGGGGUGGGUGGAGUUGUCCAGGAGAGGAGUGGAAGGGCAGUGUUCUUUGAGGAAUAAGCAUCCCUGCAAGUCACAGAGCGCAGCUGGCUCUCACCUGAGUGAAGGAAGGGGAGGGGCAAGGGGAGGAGAUUCUACCUGCGGUUGCCAUGCUUGUGGCCAGGGGGAGGAGCCGGUAGGUCUAGGCAGAGGAGGAGGAAGCUGGCAGGAUGGGGUCAAAUUUCAGUGCAGAGCUUGCCUGUUUGUAAUCUAAGCCCUUUCACAGUCUGCUCCCGGGAGGAUCCAUGAUGCCAGCAGCUCGAGGUCUUUUGUGGGAUUUCCCUCGGUGUGGAACAGAGCCCCACCGGGGCAGUGGCGGGAUGAGUCACCGUUUACCGCGACACGCGACCUACCUGUCAGCCUAAGGAAGAGAUAAGAGGUUCCUCGGGCUCCAGGUAUUUGCAUGUGCUCACCGCUAUUACCUCGCUUCUGGGUAAACAUAGAAGGCAAACACACGCCGAUUACGGGGAAGUCACCGCCGGAGGAGGGAGAGGCAGCUGGGCGUGGAGGCACGCCGUGGAGCUCCGUCAUGACACUCCAAGUCCAGCUCCGGAUUCCAGGUUGACGCACGGUGCAGGCUGAAUGGUCACCCGGGCUCCACUGAAACUUCAUCCCUCUGGAUCUCACAGCAGGCAGUCACAGCGGCGCGGACUGGGGUGGUGCGACUUUACGUGGAGUCUGUGCUGUAUGUCGUGCUGUUUCUGGGAGUGCCUGUCCUCGCUGUCACCCGUGGGUCAGUUGAAUCUGGCAUCCACGACCGAUUUACAGACGAACUCUGGCGUCAGAGCUCCUCCCGGACUGAAGUGUACUAGACAAAAACCGUGUUUUGCUCAGUGGAGCAUGUAGAGUUGGAGUUCGAUUCCUGAACUGAAUUCUGGGCUGGACUUUGGAUUUAUUUACGCGAAGGUAGUUCUCCGAAGCAGAAUGAGGAGGGAAAGGAGCUCCGAAUCCUUCCUGAAGGAGCGACCGACCUCCCUGACUCGGGCCCUGAGCUGGCUGAACAUCUCGGUGCUGUCCCGCGCUUCAUGGCGCCUCUUCCGCAGCCAGACCGAACUAGCUGCCGAGCGGAAGGACGAGCCGGAGGUGGAUGAUGAUGAUUGGGUCUACAGACCAAUGCACCGCAAAGGUAAGGCCCAAACACAAUGAAGCGGUGUUGGGCAAACCUGGAGAAGAAUGGAAUCUGGGUGUAAUCCCUGGUCCUACUCAACACAGCUCAGCUCAGCUUCCCCGUAUCUCAGGAUCCUGGCUUCUGUUUUCAUGCAGGCUAGCAGAACUGUACUGUUUCGGAUCUCUCCUACAGGCCUGGUUCCGCCUUUAGGAGGUGCUACGCUUUUUAACAGGCCUGACAUUUCUGUGAUAUUUGGGAAAGAUGGGUGUCACUUCCGCUUAAGCUUGAUGUUUGAGGAGUAAGACCAUGAACACGAUUGUCUUCUGCAAGACGAUAGUGGAGUUGGCUGCUCUGGUAGUCCAAAAAACUUCCUCUGUAGCCUUUCUAAAAUAAAAAUUGCAGUUUAAACAAAGACUCAAAGGGCCAGGAAGCAAUUAGUUUCCAAGUGCAAAGAGUAGCAGGCCACACACGUUUAUUGGUGUUGGCUGAUUGUCUCUUGCACCUUCCCCUUACUAUGUUGUGCGAAUUGUCCUGUGUGAAUCGACACAUUGUUCUGGGAUACAAGUGGGAUGCUGCCUGGGGGGUGAAGGCGAACGGGUGGAAGCCUUCGUCAGCCUGGCGGUGGUUUGGCGUUUAAGGGUAAUAGCUUGACAAAUUGAGAAUUCCUUUGUUGUUGACAGCUGCAGAGCCUACAGUCCAGCCAUGGGGAACAGUGCGCUCGUGAAUAUGUUCUGGGACAGACUGUGUGGGUGACAAAAAAAUAAUCAAGAGAAAAGUUGGAAUAAUUCGAGUUGUGGUGUCCCUGCGAUCCAGAGUGUUUCCCAGCCUUUUUUCUACCACAUCGAUUUUCCAGGCCACACCAUUGAUUAACACAUACAGAUAAUUGGAUCUUAUCUAAACUGUGAAGCUUCAGGUUCAGGAUCAAGUAUGUUUUCUGCAAUUUCCCAUUUCAAGAAUUUGUCCAUGAUCUUGUGUUUUUACUACAGGAUAGUUUGCGAAUUGUCAGACAUAUGUAAGCUAACAGGUGCCAGUGGUUGAGUGGUCUUACUCUGGGCUCCAUUUGAUUACAUGAGAAGUGCACUUAGCUAAA